UACGUAGGGGGCAAGCGUUGUCCGGAUUUAUUGGGCGUAAAGAGCGUGUAGGCGGCCUGACAGGUCUGCUGUGAAAACUCGAGGCUCAACCUCGAGAUGUCGGCGGAAACCAUCUGGCUAGAGUCCGGAAGAGGAGAGUGGAAUUCCUGGUGUAGCGGUGAAAUGCGCAGAUAUCAGGAAGAACACCUAUGGCGAAGGCAGCUCUCUGGGACGGUACUGACGCUGAGACGCGAAAGCGUGGGGAGCGAACAGG
RNAcentral lists this ribosomal RNA (253 nucleotides) under uncultured bacterium. RNAcentral describes it as "partial 16S ribosomal RNA". It matches the Rfam family "Bacterial small subunit ribosomal RNA", at positions 524 to 776 of the family's 1533-position model. The record is from RNAcentral.